AUUGAACGCUGGCGGCAGGCCUAACACAUGCAAGUCGAGCGGAUGAAGGGAGCUUGCUCCUGGAUUCAGCGGCGGACGGGUGAGUAAUGCCUAGGAAUCUGCCUGGUAGUGGGGGAUAACGUCCGGAAACGGGCGCUAAUACCGCAUACGUCCUGAGGGAGAAAGUGGGGGAUCUUCGGACCUCACGCUAUCAGAUGAGCCUAGGUCGGAUUAGCUAGUUGGUGGGGUAAAGGCCUACCAAGGCGACGAUCCGUAACUGGUCUGAGAGGAUGAUCAGUCACACUGGAACUGAGACACGGUCCAGAAGCCUACGAGAGGCAGCAGUGGGGAAGAUUGGACAAUGGGCGAAAGACUGAUCAAGCCAUGCCGCGUGUGGGAAGAAGGUCUUCGGAUUGUAAAACACUUUAAGUGGGGAGGAAGGGCAGUAAGUUAAUACCUGGCUGUUUUGACGUUACCAACAGAAUAAGCACCGGCUAACUUCGUG
Molecule: ribosomal RNA, 484 nt
Filed under: uncultured bacterium
Lineage: Bacteria
Description: partial 16S ribosomal RNA
Rfam family: Bacterial small subunit ribosomal RNA
Source: RNAcentral